RNAcentral lists this ribosomal RNA (255 nucleotides) under uncultured Gardnerella sp. RNAcentral's name for it is "partial 16S ribosomal RNA". It matches the Rfam family "Bacterial small subunit ribosomal RNA", at positions 98 to 354 of the family's 1533-position model. The record is from RNAcentral. Lineage: Bacteria; Bacillati; Actinomycetota; Actinomycetes; Bifidobacteriales; Bifidobacteriaceae.
CGGAACGGGUGAGUAAUGCGUGACACCUGCCCCAUGCUCCAGAAUAGCUCUUGGAAACGGGUGGUAAUGCUGGAUGCUCCAACUUGACGCAUGUCUUGUUGGGAAAGUGUUUAGUGGCAUGGGAUGGGGUCGCGUCCUAUCAGCUUGUAGGCGGGGUAAUGGCCCACCUAGGCUUCGACGGGUAGCCGGCCUGAGAGGGCGGACGGCCACAUUGGGACUGAGAUACGGCCCAGACUCCUACGGGAGGCAGCAGGC